RNA transcript from Triticum aestivum (bread wheat), 2097 nucleotides. RefSeq lists it as uncharacterized. The record is from RefSeq and is a predicted model, not a curated record. The transcript has 12 exons. NCBI's taxonomy places the organism in Eukaryota, Viridiplantae, Streptophyta, Magnoliopsida, Poales, Poaceae.
GAGCUAAAGAACCUACCAGCUACACGUAUCUCACCCUUCUCCCAUACACCCCGUUGAAAGCCAGCAAACGCGCGCCGUGCCCCACGCUUCAUCACACUUCACACCUCACGCGCGUACGCCUGUGUGCUUCGUCCCCCUCGCCGGCGACCCACCCAUCCACUGAUGGCAGCGACGGCCGCCGCUAGGGGCGCCGCUUCUCGCUCCCCUCUCCUCCUCCACCACCACCGACUCCCUCAGGUUCCAGCCGGUGGGGGAGGUUCGCUGAGGGUGGGCGCGCUCGGGGCAGGACGGGAUUGGAGACGACGGGUCCGGGUUCGGGUCGGGGUUAGGGUUUUCGCGCGCUACUCCUCCCAGUCACAAGACUUCUCCAGUCGACUCCAAGAUAGAGCUGGCGAAUUGCCGAAAUUAGUCGAGGAUCUUCUCCAGACGUCGAUUAGCACAGGGCCUCGAGGUGCCUUUAGGAUGGCGCAAGGGAUCCAAGCUCUCCUUGGGGUUGGUGGGGAGUGGCUAAACGACUUCUCGAAGACAGCUAACACGUCAGAAGGAAUUCCAGCUCAGAUGCGGCUUGGUUUGCUUUCCCCUCUUUAUCUCAGAAGGCUUUUUGAACGCAUGGGUGCAACUUAUAUAAAGCUAGGUCAGUUCAUAGCGUCUGCACCAACUUUCUUUCCUGCAGAAUAUGUUGAAGAAUUCCAGAACUGUUUUGACCGAGCACCACCUGUUCCUUAUAGCGAGAUCGAGUCGAUAUUGCAUGAGGAGUUGCAGCGGCCAUUGGAUAGUGUUUAUGAGUACAUUGAUCCCGUGCCAAUAGCAUCUGCUUCAAUAGCACAGGUUCAUGGGGCUAGGUUGAAGAGCUCUCAGAAGGAUGUGGUAAUUAAAGUCCUGAAACCUGGAAUUGAAGAUACUUUGGUUGCCGAUCUGAAUUUUAUCUAUCUUGUUGCACGUGUUUUGGAGUUUCUAAGCCCUGAAUUAGAGAGGACAUCACUGGUAGCUAUCAUCAAGGACAUAAAGGAAUCAAUGCUUGAGGAAGUUGAUUUUAGAAAGGAGGCUGUAAAUAUGGAGGCUUUCCAGAGAUACAUCGAAGCAAUGGGAUUUGAUAGGCAGGCCAAAUCUCCAUUUGUAUAUCACCACUGUAGCACAAAGCGUGUCUUAACUAUGGAAAGAUUGUAUGGUGUUCCACUCACCGAUCUUGAUUCUAUAAGGUCUCUUGUUCCUGAUCCUGAGUUGACUUUAGUCACUGCGCUCAAUGUCUGGUUUGGAAGCUUGAUCUCAUGUGAAUCCUUCCAUGCGGAUGUGCAUGCAGGAAACCUAUGGUUGCUUCGUGAUGGACGUGUUGGAUUUAUUGAUUUUGGAAUUGUUGGUCGAAUAUCCCCAAGGACUUGGGCUGCUAUGGAGAUCUUUUUGGCUUCUUUCGCAACUGAGGAUUACAAUGCUAUGGCAUCAGCCCUUUCCGAAAUGGGUGCUACAGGGAAUGAUAUAGAUGUUGACUCCUUUGCAAAGGACUUGCAAAAGAUAUUCUCAUCGUUACAGGAGCUGGACACUGAAAUUAUAGUGGCAGCUGCAAGAAGUUCUGAUGCUACAGCUGUAUCUGCUAAUGUUGUUGUAGACGAGAGGCAGAUGAAUGCACUGUUUCUUGAUCUGGUAAGGGUUAGCGAGUCAUAUGGGCUGAAAUUUCCUAGGGAAUUCGCUCUUCUCAUGAAGCAGCUUCUUUAUUUUGACCGGUACACAAGACUGCUGGCUCCCAGCAUGAACAUGCUGCGAGAUGAGAGGAUUAACAUUACUUCCAACAAGCAGACAAGAAGAAUGAAUUGAUUCUAUCUUCCAUCAUCGGAGGAAUUGGUGCAAGACAUGGACAAGUGACAUUGUGAAUGAGACCAAAUUAUAUCUCAUCUAAAUGAGUUCUAGGCACUCCCUAAGAAGAAACAUAACACUGGCUCCUGUUGUGGUACUUAGGCAUCUUGGAGCGGAAAUUGCUUUUGGAUCUCAGGCUCCAUGGAGACUGGAAUUUGAAAAUUAUAAAAUCAUAGUUUCAAGUUCAAAAAAUUUCUGAAAACAUACACACCUACAAUGGGAUGUAUACUACUGCUCUGUUCACUUAUA